RNAcentral lists this ribosomal RNA (229 nucleotides) under uncultured bacterium. RNAcentral describes it as "partial 16S ribosomal RNA". It matches the Rfam family "Bacterial small subunit ribosomal RNA", at positions 568 to 796 of the family's 1533-position model. The record is from RNAcentral.
UCCGUAGGCGGGCGACUAAGUCAGAGGUGAAAUCCCACAGCUUAACUGUGGAACUGCCUUUGAUACUGGUUGUCUUGAGUUAUAGUGAAGUAGAUAGAAUAUGUAGUGUAGCGGUGAAAUGCUUAGAUAUUACAUAGAAUACCGAUUGCGAAGGCAGUCUACUAACUAUAUACUGACGCUAAUGGACGAAAGCGUGGGGAGCAAACAGGAUUAGAUACCCUGGUAGUCC